This 288-nucleotide unclassified non-coding RNA is filed under the name fungal sp. RNAcentral's name for it is "partial internal transcribed spacer region". The stretch from base 1 to 46 matches the Rfam family "Eukaryotic small subunit ribosomal RNA", at positions 1786 to 1831 of the family's 1831-position model. The record is from RNAcentral. Lineage: Eukaryota; Fungi.
AAGUCGUAACAAGGUAACCGUAGGUGAACCUGCGGUUGGAUCAUUAAUGUAAUUUUGAAAUAGACUUUGGUCUAUUCUCAUUAAAUGGAUGGAUAACUCUUUUCAUGGAGUUUGAAAUCCUUUACACCUAUUGUGAACUGUUAAUGUAUUUGUCAUUGGUAUGAAUGACAUUUAGUCUUUUUAUACAAUGACUCUUUUUUUAAAAACAUUGUAUUAUUUUCUAUGGUUUUUCUUUAUAAUGAAAUAUUAUAAUUGAAACAACUUUUGACAACGGAUCUCUUGGCUCUC